Molecule: long non-coding RNA, 569 nt
Organism: Homarus americanus (American lobster)
Lineage: Eukaryota; Metazoa; Arthropoda; Malacostraca; Decapoda; Nephropidae
Exons: 2
Source: RefSeq, a predicted model, not a curated record
UCACCAUACUUUCUCUUGGCUGUAUGUGGUAACUUGAGGAGAUCUAGCACGGAACUCCAAUCAAAACUUCUCGUCAGCAACCUGGAGCGGAGUAUAAUGGCCAUUUGGGAUAUUUCCUGUGAAUGAAAGAAGCUGUCUUACAAGUAUUAAAGGACAAGGUCUGUCAAAAUUAUGUACAGUUUAGCAAGGUGUACACAUAGGCUACUAAAACAUUGUAGGCUUGUAUAAAACAAAGGUAUGGUUGAUUAUGUCAAAAAACUCUCAGACAAUUUAAUUUUGUAUUAAUCUCUCUUCUUCCAAAAUAACUGUAGUACUGUAUAAUAAUCAUACGGUACAGUAUAGGUGUAUGUAAAGUUUUGUUCGUGGUUUUAAAUCAGUGAUCCUUAACAUUCUGUCUGAAGAUCAUUUGUCAAAUUUUCUGAUACUAAUACUCUCAUAAUAAUGACAAAACAAAUUUAAUUGCAAUAUGAUUGACAUAUUAAUUUUUACUACUGUACAGUACUGUAUGUACUUUUCCUAAACGAUGAUAAUUAUGUAUAGUGUAUGUAAUAAUAAAGAAAUACAUUUAA